This 638-nucleotide long non-coding RNA is filed under the name Olea europaea subsp. europaea. Lineage: Eukaryota; Viridiplantae; Streptophyta; Magnoliopsida; Lamiales; Oleaceae. The record is from RNAcentral.
UAUUGGUGUACUACGGCUUUAUUUAAAAUUGCAUCAAUUGAAAUCUUUGCACUGCUGUUAACAUGAUAAUUUUAGCCUUAAACGCCACUUCAUCAAAACCAUUGAUCAAAUUGACAUCAGUGACCGAAUUGACUUCCAUCGUGACGCACUUAAAUUGAUUAGAGAAUUUGACUAGUGUGUUGACCCUUGCUUUGCUAUUUUACAUGUACCAACAGUAUUAGCUUGCUUUGGAUUUAUUUAAUCCCAAUAUUUAAAAUUAAAUUAAAAAAAAAAAGGUUCAAGUUAUUUUCCAUUGCUUGCACUUAUUUUUCCAUUGAUUUCUCUAUUGCACGUCAUUUAGCUGCUAAUACAAUGCAUACAUAGUGGUCAACCGGUUGUCUUGUCACUCUAGUUUCAGUACCUAGACCAUGGAUCCAUCCCCAUUUGAUGCACUCACUAGACAAUUAGUGCAACUUGCGACUAGCCUAUCGACUAUCCAAUCAGAUAUAAUUGCUACUCGUGAAGAGAGAAAGAAACUAGCUGAUAAGUUGAGCAAUUUUAAGCAAACCCCUCGUUUGAUUGACACUAAUUCUGAAGCGUCUCAUAAUAGACAAUAUCAUCGUAGACAAAGUGAUCAAAAAAAAUUUCGACACGAUCGU